Callorhinus ursinus (northern fur seal) is the source of this 1249-nucleotide long non-coding RNA. RefSeq lists it as uncharacterized. The record is from RefSeq and is a predicted model, not a curated record. NCBI's taxonomy places the organism in Eukaryota, Metazoa, Chordata, Mammalia, Carnivora, Otariidae.
UUGGAGAUUUACAGGAAGCCGGGAAUGUGGGUGUAACUCUCCUUAUUCUUAAAUGUUGGCCUCUAAUUCAGAAAAUUAGUUUAAGCUGAGAACUGAAGCACUGAGUGAGAAUUCCUCAGGGGGAAGCCUAUCGGCCUAGGGAGGGGUGGGGGUGUCCUCCCCAGAGGUGGGGCCUGACUCAGGCCCCUGGGUUUCGCUCAGAACAGCAAGGCCGAAGGUUCUGGCUCUCCUCCUUCCCUCCUGGAACAGAUGCCCCCUGGGAUGACGAGCCAGCUCAGACCCCUCACCAGGAGGAAUACUGAGUCCAAGGAAGGACCAGAGUUGCUUUCGGAGAUCUUCAUCCAGACACACCCGUAGACUCAGCACGGAGCUGGGCACGUACAACAAGAGGAAAUUAAAUGCGUGCUGACAAACUUGUUCUCUGGCUAAGACUGGAAGAUCCACCAUGCUUGGCAGGUGGAGCUCGGUAUCUCCCCUCUCCCCGCACACCCACUUUGGGGAACCCUGGAGGUGGGGGGAUUUCUCGGGGCCAGGGUGUUGGGAGCGCUACGAUCACCCUGACCUCAGCUGUUCGGAAGGUGCCAGUUCCGGGCGCGCGCGGGGGUGAGCGGGGCGCGCUAACAGAUCCCGCCACGAGGGGGCGAUAAACCCCCAAAACCUGAAGCUGGGGACCGGGGAGGUCAGGGUCCUCGAGACUGUGUGCAUCUUUGCGCACUUGACCCGCCCCCGGCGGACUUGGACCGCACCUCCGCUGACCGACCGCGGCUCUUCCGGGCGCGCUCCCCAGAGUUUGGGUGAAUGUGGGGGAACAGGGGGAACGCCCCGCGAAGACUCGUAGCCCCGUAUCCUAAGGAAGAGGUGGCGCGCGUGUGAAAAACUGGCACGGUGGGAGGAGGGGGCUAGAAAAUGCUGGAAUAUCGGGGAAGGCUGCGAUUAAGGCACAGGCGGACACUUCUCAUCUGUGUUUCUUUGUCUCCCUCUAGUGGAAAUCAAGGGAGCUUUAAAAUCUUUUUCAUCCGGAAGAUUCCUUUUUUGUUUUCCUUUUCUUUCCCUCCCUUCCCCUUCCUUCCUUACCAUAGCUUUAUGCCUUUGUUUGUUGUUUCUUUUUUUAACUAUUAAAUGGCCAUCAGUAAGAAAAUGUAUAAGACAACAAAUGAAAGAGUAAAAUUUAUCUGGUUCCUCGCAGAGUUCCAAGUCAUUGUUAAUUCUACAAAACCAAGUUAUGGAAUAAUAUAAACACAUAACUCCA